AGUGAUGCUUCUCGACUACUCA
This 22-nucleotide non-coding RNA is filed under the name Arabidopsis thaliana (thale cress). The record is from RNAcentral. Lineage: Eukaryota; Viridiplantae; Streptophyta; Magnoliopsida; Brassicales; Brassicaceae.